Long non-coding RNA from Cavia porcellus (domestic guinea pig), 8806 nucleotides. RefSeq lists it as uncharacterized. NCBI's taxonomy places the organism in Eukaryota, Metazoa, Chordata, Mammalia, Rodentia, Caviidae. The record is from RefSeq and is a predicted model, not a curated record. The transcript has 2 exons.
CUGUGUGGAGGAUGAGCCGGAAGCGGCCAUUUUAGGAGGACCUGACAGUAAACGACUCGGAAUACUUUGGGAUUGACCCAAUGAUGGGAUCGGAAAUUCAGACCCCCGUAAAGCCUCGCUGUGACGUUAGGAAAUUACACUCUUCCCAAAAGUGUAAAUCGAAACUAACAGAACUUUUUCAUAUCUUUUGUAGCCAAGUGAUCCAGAAGAGUGUAUGCUGAGGAAAGCCCCAACCUGUGGACUUGGCUGCCUUCUAUCUAGGACCUACAGCCCUAGCUUGGGUUGCAGGAAACAAAAAUAUCUUUAGGAACCAAAGAAAACAGAAGACCUGAAGAUUAGCACCGGCAUCUGUUAUGGAAAUCAAGUCUAGUAAGUAUGCUUGUUUAAGAGCUUAAAUGUGAAAUCUGAGGCAGCACAGCUAGCUUUGCAAAACUGCAGUUACAUAAAAUACUUUCUCUUCCCACUUUCCCCUCAGCCCUGCUUUUGACCACACCAGCAAUAUCAGCGGGAUUGGGGGAGAAUGUUAUUUGGAUCAUCUCUGUUGCAAUGAUCUUCCGGAGAUAUUCUUGAUGUCCAUUUCUUUAAUAACUCCUGAAGGUGGGAUAGCUCAUCCUGGAGGCCAGCGAUUGUGGAAGCUGAGAGGCCCAUCUGGGGAUGAUGCAAAGGGCAGAGAAUAUUAUCACAGCUCUAGCUUUUUGCUUGUUAUCUGUCCAUUAUUUCUAGUAUCUUUAAUGGGCUUUCUCCUUCCAGCUAUGCCCUAAAUUCUACUGAAUCUAAGUCACAAGCAGUUUUUUUCACCUGUUAUAUUCCCAAACCUACUCAGAUAACAGAAACAGUACUUCAUUUCCCAAUCCUCCCAGCCACCUGCCUUUCCAGCUCUGUUCAUCUGGUUCAGCGAUCAAGGCUACCCCUUCCAAUUCCUGUCUUCUUUCUUACCUGGACUUCAGGCCUUCCCCUCAGGUAGCAGCGUUUCCAGAGCCUGAUUUGAGGUCCCAGAUAACUGGGUAGGAGUAGCCCUGGAGGUAAAGGGCAGGCUCCCCAAUGUGAGGGAAGUCCCCAUUCCUGGUCAGCCAGGCUUUCAGAGGAUAUAGCAGGUCGAGGCAGCCAUCGAGAAGAGACUGUCAACAGGGAGGGAUUGUCUCGCCAAGGACAGAGUUGAUUCAGCGGGGUUAGGGCUCCUCUAGAGAAGAGCCACACAGAAUUGGGGGGUCCAGGAAGCAUGAGGCUUGGCUAAAGAGAAAAGGGAUGUCAACUGGCAACUGAAAAACAAGAUAACCCAAGUUUCUCCAGUCUGUGUCACAAAGGAGGUAUCCAACCUUUAUCUACUCAAUUCACUAGUUACUACAGUUACAGGCCUCCCCCUCAGAACAGCACCUACUCAUGAUCAACACUCAUCUGCUGUCCUCAUUAGGCUUCCACUAGCACUCAGAGCUGAAAACAGUUGAUUUUAGAGAAACUCGUAAAAUGUGAGCAUGAGAUAGGAAUACUAAUAAAUGAAAACAAGAGAAGAUACCUUCUGCUUUCCAAGCCUUUUAUCUUCCUGGUGACAAGGCUAUUAAAUGAUAACUGUGGAAGAGGAAUGAUGUACCUUCCCCUGAGGAAUUCAGACGUUCUGUCUUUCUACCUUCUAGUAGCAUAUGCCUGGGGGAAAGUCAAGAGCAUUUAGAAGUUUAGACAUCUCACCUGCUGUCUAGGAAACCUGAGAUCUGGAUAAUGUUCUCGGGCAUAUCUGGGGUUAUGGAAUUGUAGUAUCUGCUUAUUGCUGUAGCGUAAAUCCCAGUCCCAGACAGACAGCUGCAAGUUAACAGACUUCUCAGCUGAGGGUGAGGAGUACUCUGGGGUGUACAUUUGUGUAUAGGAAUUAAACUGUAUAGAAAAAAGCAAGAAAAAGAUGAUUAAACAAAAAACUAUACUCCAAAUCUAGAGAUAAAUCAUGAAAUUCUCGUAUCUACUUCAGUUAUCAAACAUACAGCAAAAGUCUAAUGCUGACAAUGAGCAUUAACUUACCCCUCCCUCCCAUAGACCUCACUUCUCAUAAAAUACAUCACUAGGGAAUAAAUUAAAACCAGUGGUCACUGACCUGUGCACUCUGCUUCCCACGCUCCCAGGGGGUAUUCCUUAGGAAGGUAAGUGUAUCGGGAACCCUGACACUGUCAUGAAGAGCAAGAAGGAAAAACUCAGAGAAUUCAAACUCCACUGGAAACUGCUGGAGGAGCUGCCAGACACAGUCAAGGAAAAGAAGAAACACUGGGGCCUGAGAAGAAAGACAUUUAGAGGUCAGAGGGCUCACAGAAACAUAUAAGAAAUGAUAAUGGAGACACAGGGAACCAGGCAUUAAAGAGGUCAGGGGAGCAGUCCUAACUGAAGUAAUGGCCUCUCUCAUCCUAGUCUAAGCUCAGCCUAACCUUGAGACCCUUCUAAUCUAAUCCACCUUCUGUAGAUUAUGCCAUGUGCUUUUUUUCUCCCCUUAUUUGCUUAAUAAUGCCUCCCACCAUCCCAUGCCUUCCCCCCAGAUUUUUCUCACCUCUUCACUGGCCCCAGUUCCCCCAAGCCGAGUCAAGAAGGGGUGUCCAGCUGCCACCCACUCUCGCUGCACUAGUGCUUGGAAGCCAAACAACGUUCGGGCUUCAGGAGCUGAAAGCAGCUGGACGAGUGAAGAGAGGAGGCCAUUGAAAUCACGAUCACCGCGCUCUGGGUGAUAAAGAGGAAGAAGGGACAAAGAAGGGAAGUCCAAGAAACUAGGGCAGGAGAGAAUGAGAGGAAGAAGUAUGGCAAGGAGAAGUGGGGCACAGAAGGGGAAAGUUAGGGGUAGUCAGGAUUGAGAGGACACAAAGAAUACAAAGAGCUUGAAUGAUUCACUUGUUUAGGAUUCUCAUACUAGACCGAAAUAUCCACUUUUACAUGUAAGAGGCAGAAUUGGUUCUUACGUCAGCUUCCACCCAGCUACAUUUUCCAUCCACUGAUGGAAAGUGGGGCGAGGGGUUAGCACAGCCUCCUGUUAGGAGGAACAAACUAGUGGGAGGUGGGGCCGCUGCUGAAGGAUGAAGAGUUAGAGCUCAUGAGUAGUUACUAGUAACAGGAGGGGAGAAUGCUAGCACUAAAAGAGGAUAGGGAGCUUUACAAAUCUCGCUCCCUGAACAGAAUUGAGUUAGUGUGUAGAGGAAACAGGCUGACCCAGGAAACUCACCUUGAAGUACUACGGAACGAACCCUGGACGUCACUAAAACUGAAAUAUCACUGGCCUUACGCAGACAAGACCUGAAGGAAGAAGGGGGUAAAUGAUUAGCCUGAGAGAAAGGAGACAUGGGGUCAUGGGAUCGAACAGAAGUAAACUCCAAAAUCCUGCCUCUUCUAAGAAGCAGGAAUAACAGUCUUAGGAAUCAGAGAAGUGUUCAUCAAAGGCAGUUUAGGAGGCCACAUUAGCAGAAGUUGAGAAGCUGAAAUUAGAGUUAGGGGAAGGGUACCUGACAUGGUCCAGCCAUCGUGUUCCUUCCAGGGCUGAGAGCCACUUAUCCUCAGACACAGAAGAGUCUGGCAGAGGGUAGAGGGGUCAGAAGGGCAAAAAAGUCAGAACUUGGGAUUCAUUUAGCCCAAUAGGUUAAAUGUCAAGUAGUGGUUACCUAAGAGUAAGGGUGGGAAUGAAAAGUGGCCAUAAGUUUUCUAAAAUUAUAUUUUGGAGAAUAUAGCUCAAGGGUAAAGAACUUGCCUAGCAUGGGCAAGGCCUUGGGUUCACUUUCUAGCACCAUAAAAAAAGUUUUGUUGAUGGUUCCUCAUUGUAAAUAUAUUAAGAUUCAUUGCAUACUUAAGAUGGGCAAAGUUUAUAAAGUAUAAAGCUGUUUUUUAAAGGAAUGAGUUGGGUGUAGAAGAUAAUUAGUAAAUGUGUAGGAGGUAGGAGCAAGGUGUGGUAGCACAGCCCUAUAAACCUAGCACUCCAGAAAGCUGAAGUAUGAGAAUCCUAAAGAAGAGAUCCUGUCUCAAAAAAUAAAAUGGACUGGGGAUGUAGCUUUAUCCUAGAUUCAAUGCCCAGUACUGGGGGGGGAGGGGAGGGAGAGAGACAAAAACCUAUGGAUCAUUGGGUUAAAGGAUUUGUUAUCAAUAACAGAAGGAUUAGAAUGAGAGGCCAGAAGUUAAUCUCACCAGGAAGACAGAGUGCCCUCAGCUUCAAGUGUGCAAGCUGGACAUCUGCAAGGCUGGGCAGCUCAUCCAUCGUGUCUACUAGUACAACAUCAGAAUGCCCAGCCUGGAGCAUUGACUCCACUGCUCUGGAAGAAAGAGAGUCCAGAAUGAAAGGAAGGAGAUGAUCCUGAGCACCUAACCCUUGAGUCUUCCCACCAAGCCCCCUUACCUAAUAUCCUCCUUGUUAGGGUCACUGGCUGUAUAAAAGCCUCCACAUCGGAGAAGAUCACUGCCCCCAGGGUGAUGCCAGGACAGGCGCUUCAGAUGGGGGAGAAGAGGGUCACUGUGGGAGAUGCUAGCUCCAAGCUACCCUAGCCUUCAUGGUAAACUCACAGAGAGCCCUGUCCACGUUGUCCCCAUAUCCUCCCAUGCCCCAUCCCCAGCCAUUAUUCUAACUAUUACACUGACCGGUCCACGGCCCUGAUGGAAGUGGCCAAAUGCUCUCCUGACCUCGUUAUCCAGAGUUCUGUUAGGGACCCAGAAGUAACGGGGGAGGCUGUGAAAUUGAGAAGGAUGUCUCAGAUGAUUGGCUCAGUGACCUCAUUAAAAUGUAAAGCUGUUAAUACAAGGAAUCUGCUUGAGGGAUUUCAAGUUUGGAGAGCAAGGAGGUAGCAAGGACAGUUCACACAUGUACUGGGGGCAAGAGUUUAUAGGAAGUCCUAAUUUUAGAAGAUCAGGGAACUGUGAGAAUUGGGAGGGCAGCAGGGUUUGGGGUUCCUGGAGUGGGAGAUCACCUGGUAGCUAUGUCGAACCUCUCAUUGACAGUGCUAAGCCUCCAGCCUCUGGCUCCCUGCUUCUUUCGCUCACUUUCCCAGUCUUCCAAUGUCUCCAACAGAGGUAUAGGUGGUUUUCUGAAGCCAGAACCCUGGGCUGGGCAAGAAUGAGGAAUAGAGGAGGAAGAGGUACCAGAGGCAGCUUCUCUCCUCAUUUGUCCUCAGCCACCCUCUGUUUUUUCAAACUGUACUUUUUCUUUACCCUAAAGCGCCUCACUCACCAGCCUUCCUUUGAGUUAUCCCCACAUACAGCUGGGUUUGACUGCUCUGAGCUCUGGCUUGGACAAUGGCCAUGGUCACCUUAGAAGAAAGCACAUCCCAUCCUUUUGUUUUAAGCAAAAGAAGUAAAAAGGAAAUGGAGGCCUUGUGUUCCUCCAUGUCUUUACCAUCAACAGAGAAGAGUUACCAUCAACAGAGAAGAGCAGCAGAAACAGAUCCCAGAGAAGGGAGGACCCACAGGUCAUGGGGACUGGGAUUAGGAGAACAAAUUUAAAGCCAUCAAAUCAUAAAAUUAAAUUUUGGGAAGAAUUUUAGGAAUACUAUCAUCCAACCCUUCCCAUUUUUCAGAGGCACAAACUUGCCAACAGUCACAUUGCUGCCAGUUGGCAGAGGUAGGCUAGAAUUCAGGCCCUUUGAGCUCAUGGUAUUAUACUUCUCUCAGCCUUUCAGCCUCUCCUUGAGGAGAAAAGCAAGAGGAAUGAUGAGAGAGACCCUGAAGGACAGGAAAAAAGAAGUGCCAGGAAGAGGACGCCCAAAUUGCAAGAAGAGGAAUCUUCAAGUUCAAAGCUCCUUACCUGAAAGGCCUGAGGUUCUAAUCCUCCAGCCUCAAAACCAACCCUAAGCAGUCGGAAGUCUUGGCCAUGAAUCAGAAUCUCCUCAGGGAUAAAUUUAAGCUGUGAUCCUGGACGGAGGAGCUGAACUCGUGAUAAGCCACUCACUGAAGUUGAGAAUUAGAGAGCUAUAUAACCAUAUGGUCCCUCUGGGAGGAACUUGUCCAACUCAUCCCACCCAUCCCUUGCUAUCUUUCAGCAUAGAAAAUAGAUAGAGGUUCCAACACCCUGCUAAGCUCCCAGACUUACCAGCCUCUAAUCGCCCAAUGUUGACCAAGGCAAAAUCAUAUUCACUGCUCAGGGGAGUGUCCUAGAGGAAGCAUAUGAACAAUGAUGCAAACAUCUGAAAUAACCUUGCUUUCUCUUGAUGGUCCCACUCCCCCUCUAGGGAGCAACUCCCCUAAAAAUCCCCCCUACUUUUGAGAUAGGGUCUCACGUUGGAAUUAAGGCUGGCCUUGAAUCAUUGGCCUCAAUCUUGGUAAUCCUCCUGUCUCAGCUUCAGGAGCAUCAGUACGCACCACCACACUUGGCUCAAAUAUAAUCCCCUUUGACUAUCUCUAAGGCAUUCAAAAGAUAGCCUUUUACCCUUUUGUCUGAAUCUACCUAGACUUCCUUACCCAUUUCAUGCUGUCUUGUCUGUGGCCCUAACCAUUUCACCUGACUCCGCUGCCAUCCACAGGGCUGGAAGGUAACCCUAAAGUUGGUGCAUAUCAGGGUUCCAGGCAAUUCAGGUUCCAAUCCUUUCCUCAGUCCUGGGGACCAUGCUAGUAUCUGCUCCCCUAAGGAAAAAGAAGGAAAACCAGGUUAUGACUGUCCAGAGUGCUGCCCAUAUUAUAUACACCUGUUUCUCUAAGAGGAUAUAGAGGGAAGAUUAAAAUCCUUCCUUGAACCCAUCAGUUUAAGGAAAAAGAAUGUGUUGUUUUUUUUUUUUUUAAAUCUCUAUAACCAGAAUAGCACACAGAAUAGGGCCUAACAUAUAGUAGACAGUUACUGAAUAAGUGAGAAAAAUGGCAACAGGGUCAAGAAAAGAGAGGGAACAGUAAGGUCCAAAUUGUCAGCCAGGCCUGGAUAGAGAAACUAGCAAGCCUCAGACAGGGAGGAGCAUUUUGAACCAGGAAAGAGCUGCAGAGCUGUCUUUGGUGAAGGCAGGAACAAAUGGGGUGGGAUGAAAUUUAGAGGGCUCUUAGGAGAUCAGAUCAUUACCUGGAAGGCAUCCAGAGGCCAGGCAGCUGCCAGGCUGACCACUCCUAUUCUCCAGCAUCCUGCUUCCCUAGACAGAAUUUGGUCCAGAGGGCUGGAAAGGUGCAGCUUCAAUCCCAGGUCUCCCCAACCCUGGAUCUGGGAUUCCUUAGAGGCCCACACUCAGAUUCUGGGGAAACAGAUCUGUAUCUAUGGGAGCUCCGGACUGAGGCUGGCAGAGGCUAAAGGGAGGGGCUGGUUAAUGGGUAAUGAGACCACGAACUUGAGACUAAAAAAGGCAGACCAAACUCCAUCAGCAGACACACCUUCCUCUCCCUCCUCCUCUUCCUUCACUUCCUCCUCCUCCUCUAUCUCUUCUCCCCCUCCCUCUCCACUGCAUCCCCAUGCACCCCCUCCACCAGCCCCCCAGAUUUCUCCUCCUUACCCCCAUCUCUGGCUCCUCCUUUGGGGAGGCAAUAUUGAAACUCUGGCCCCGGCCCCCCCACCACAUUUCUCUGGCUCCAUCCGAGGAUGGAGCAUUAAGGGUAGGAAACCUUAAGGAUGCUCAGUCCCUCUGGGAAGGGGCUUAAUCUUAGAGCUGAGAAAAAGGAGAUUAAACAGAGGGGCAGGUGGGAGGACACAAGAAGAAGCACUUGAGGUGCCCAGAGCACAGUUUAGGGGUCUUGAAAGAUGCGACUAGCCCAGCCUGAGUUGGCUCCUCGGAGGAAACUUCAGUCGACUCUGGAGAAGGCGGAGAGCUGCCCAGCCCCUUAAAGGAGAAUACACACUGUCUUGGAAAAGUAGAAAGGAAAUGGAGGAGCCUCAGAAAGAUAAGGACAAUGAGGAACAGAGACAAAACUGGACUCCCUGCUUUACCCCAAUCUUACAGCCUACUCUUUCUGUAUGAGUAUUGAAGAUGGAGAGGGGCAGUAAUUUUUUUUUUUUUUUUUUUUUUUUUGAGAUAGGAUCUCACUGUGCAAUGCAGGCUGGCCUUGAACUAUGUAGGCCACGUUGGCAUCAAACUCACCAUGAUGCUCCUACCUUAGCUCACUGAGUGCUGUGAUUACAGGUGUGCACUACCAAACUCAGCAGUGAUUACUGGUUAUUAAACUGUAAUAAUCUGGACUACCUCUCCAGACUUUGUGAUGACUUCCCUUCCAUGGGAGGCAUAGUGUCUAUCUGCCCAUGUCUGUGUGUUAAGGAAGUCAGAGUAGAAAUGCAAAGUAGUUCUGCCAUCUUAACUGCCUCUCUUGAUAAACUUACCAAAAGUAGUUGAGAAGGGGAAAUAAAAUGGAAUUGGACUCAAAAUUUUGCUAGGGAGAUUUAAGAAGUGAGAGUGAGUGAUCAGCAAAUCAGAAAGUUUGUGUGUAUCUUUCUCCAAAGAGUACAAAACACACAUCAAGCAUGGAGUACAAAGGAGUGGGAGAGAGGUUGAGAGAUUCCCAGGCCGUAGCUGCAACACAGGCUCAUUGGUGAGCAGGCUGGGUGAGGCCAGGGAGCCUGAGAGAAUCUCAUCGUCGUUUAACCAGUCUUGCUGAACACCCUGGGGCGCUGCUUCCUGGUCCAGUCCCAGCCACAGGCAAUAAAAGCCCCACAUUAUGUGACUCCACCCUCCUGCGACUCCACCCUCCCCUGGAGAAACUAGAUCUUCAAAUGAAUGUUUCAUGUCCCCACUCUUCACUUUCAUGACCACAGUCCCCCUCCCUCACCCCUGCAACCCAAGAAGUAAAGAUGGAGAGAAGGGGGAGGCAUGUAAUAAAGAUGCAGGCCAGGCUGCUUGGGGGCAGCAAUGCAAAAGCCUAUAUUUAGGAAUAAAAGACAGGAAAUAAAAUACAAAAUAAGAUUUAA